UGACACUCACCAAAAAAACAACUUCAGCGAUUGACGUGUCGGAAUUAAUAGCUCGAAUUAAUAGAUAUGUAACGAUUACGUCGAGAAUAGGGAUCAUCUCCUCCUGCGAUGCGCCUUUAGCAUUCAUAUUUGGAACUCCAUCCAGGCUAGGCUGAGGCUAACUCCGUGUAUCUUCUACACUUGGACUGCUCUUAUUGCUUGGACAGGUCUAAAAGCAGACGCUUCUCCUUCUCUGCUUCGGAAAGUGGCUGCCCAAGCAGCUAUCUAUCAAAUUUGGAGACAGAGGAAUAACAUGAUUCACAAUGGCAUCACAAUCCCACCAGCAACUAUAUUCAAAAUCAUUGACAGGGAAGUGAGGAAUACCAUUACUGCAAGAAAGUCCAGAAAACGUUUUCGGGAUUUAAUGGCUCUUUGGAUCCGCUAAUGGGUUGAUUGACACUCAACUCCUCUUUUGUAAUCUUUGUUUUUUACAUUCUUUGGCAAAGUCUACAAGCUUUAGGUUCUUCUUUU
Arabidopsis thaliana (thale cress) is the source of this 510-nucleotide long non-coding RNA. RefSeq annotates it as other RNA. Lineage: Eukaryota; Viridiplantae; Streptophyta; Magnoliopsida; Brassicales; Brassicaceae. The record is from RefSeq. The transcript has a single exon.